GUACACCCACUGAAAGUACACCCUUCGGUGCCUGGGCAGGUUCAUCAGGUCAGAAUACGAUACAUUAGAGGAACAAAUGAAACACGUUCCUAAUCUCAGUGGCCAUUGGCCAAAGGCAGAGGUCACUUCCUGUCCUUGUCUGUCUGAGUGAGCUGGGGCCUCUGCUCCCAUCACCUUUACUCCCGGCCCCAUGGAUGACUGAGCAGCCACUGUCUGGUGAACUGCUGGCCUCCAUAAUAACGAGAAAACGAUGAUGGGUUGGGCUGAAGCUCCGAGGCUUGCUUUCACUUCUGCCGGGGUUUAAUUGGUUGAAGCAGAUAAUAAUAAGGUCAAAAAAUCUAGCUUAAAGGGGGAAGUAGAAUCUUAGCACGUGUCCAGGAUUAGAACCUGAAAUAUUUGAGGAAAAAGCCUGAUGAAUACCAGCUAUGCUCAGAGGUCAGCUUUUAGAAAAUUCAAAGGAAAUGUAAAAUGUAAAGCACAGAAUAGUUCCCCACGCAGCUGUCUCAGUGCAGCGAGAUGCUGUGAGAGGACCUCACUCGGGUGGCAGCCACAGUUGCAGGAAUUACUCGGGAAUAUUGCCUUGUCGACAAACCGUGUGCCAUUCCAUGCUGCUGAGGCCAAGUUUGUUAUCUGGCCAGCCAUUCAGUCACUUUAAUUUUAACAGCCCUUAUUUGCAGUAAUGAGAGAAGCUGUGUGUGUAUGUACAGUCCUAACCAUUCUGAUUAUUCCGUGUCUAGUGUUCUAUUUUCUCCCUAAUAUCCUCAAUAUCUUCUAAGAAAAAAAUGUCGCUUUUCUCUGCCUGGAGGAAAUUGGCACAGUGAGUUGAAACUCUGUAUAUAUGAACAACUGGUGAUUUCGUCUUGAUUAAAUUGCCUGGAUGAUUCAAUUUAAAAGAUCAGUUCCUUAUGGUGUUACAUUAAAUUGACACCCAAGACACUUAGUCAUAGCACACUAACCAGACCCAGCAAUUAAGUCAAAACCCUGUAUCUACCAUAUGAAACAUUCUCACGUGUAAAGUAAGAAGUUAAAGCUGGAAUCCCUUCAUGUCGCCUCAAAUCACCACAGAAUUUAUACCAUGUAAUCUAAGUUUCUGAACAUAGAAACAUUUUUUUCACUUAUAAGCAUGAUUGCUUUGAGAGUAAUUAACCUCCCUAGUAGCCUAAUGUCAUACCUUAAACUAUAGCAGUAAAGGGAACAUAUUGAGCCUGUAGAACUUUUAUGGAUUUAUUAUUAAAAUUUCAAAUGCUUUUACUUUUAUUUUAUUGUUUGUGAGCUUCAAGCAUGAAUUUGUUGUUUCAAAUCCAUCUCCUAUCCUCUUUCCAGAGCCUCACCACUAUUUUUUCCUAUUUACUUCAUGUCCUGUUGUUAACCUGCAGUGUCUAAUUGGUGGCUCCGGUCCAUGCAUGAAUGUAGGGCUGUUCACUGGAGCUCGGCCAACCUACUACAAGUCAUAUCCCUCCCUUAGCACCUAUCCAUUGCCAGGAGCAACUGAACUAAGGGAAGGGUCUCAUGUGCUGCUCCCCCAUCUAUGUUACAAUGCUGACUGGCUUGAGCGUCUGCAGGUCUUAUGUGGGUAACCACAGCUGCUGUGAGCACACUUGCACAUCAGUCCUGUUUAGAUAGUCUGAGUGAGCAGCUGUCCAUUACCUCUUUGUCUGCCUGAUGGUUAGUUGGCAGUUUUAGUUGUCUGCGUCCUUACUCUUUUCUACUUCGGAUGGGUCUUUGAGUCUUUACACAAAAGCUCUUGGUCUAAAUGUCUGUGAGUAAUUCCUCUACACCCAAAGUAAAGUACACUCAUAAAUUGACUUAUAUUUUUAAUUAAAAAAACGGUUCUCAUGUAAAUGAUCUCUUGGUAGAUAUGAAAUACUUAAUAAAGAUUCAUGGCAAUGUUUGAAUCUUAUGGAAUUUAGUAGAGCACUGUUUGGUAAGCUGUUUGAACUUUGUAGAUAUUUUAAAAUAGCAAUAUUUUGGGUAUCAAGACAAGCUCCAAAUGCAAAUAUAUUACUUAAGUGUUUGAAGUACAUUGUUCCAAUUUUCUUUUUCUUAGCAUGUAUUAAUUGCACAGAAUGUUGGUCAUCAUUAUGAAAUUCUGUAUUUGUAGAUAAUCUCUUGAAGGCCUUUCCUUUUCGUCAAGAGUCUUUGUUCAAGUUUCACAUUGUUCAUUUGUAUGUAUGAUUUAUUUGGUUAUUUUCUCUAGAUUUCACUUUUAAGAGAACAGAUAAUGUACUUAUCUUUCCAAGCCUCAUUUAUUUUGUUUUAUGUUAUGACUUACAGCUCCAUCCAUUUACCUGAAAGCGACAUGAUUUCAUUCUUCUUGGGUAAAUGAUACUCCAUGUGUAUGUACAGCACACUUUGUCUACUUGUUUGUUGAUAAACACAUAGGCUGUUCCACAUCUUGGUCCUUGGAAACGAUGCUGCAAUAGACACAUGUACUUCUAAUACCUGCUGAUUUUCAUUCCUUUGUGUAUAUACCCAGAUGUGUGAGAGUGGAUCUAUGGCAGCUCUGUUUGUGGUUCGUUCUGAAGGAUGGGCAUUGUACUGUGAUUUAGUUCCAUAUGGCCUGGAGCAGUUUACAUUCCCACAACAGUACAACUAUAUUCUUUUUAUCCUCUGUCUUCACUAACACUUUUUAUUUGAUUCUGACUGGGCUGAUGCAUAAUCUCUAUAUAGCUUAGAUUUGCAUUUCUAUAAUAUUAAAGAUGCCAAAGAUGUUUUAAGGAAUUAUAGGUCAUGUGUAAUUAGUUCAAGAAUUGUCUAUGCAGUGGUAUGAACAAUAAUUGAUUAUAUUAUUCAUUCACCCGGUGUUAAAUUUUUAAAUUUCUGGAUGCCAUUUUUAUAUUAAUACUCUGUCACAUAAAUAGCUGUUGAAAGC
This 2872-nucleotide long non-coding RNA is filed under the name Mus musculus (house mouse). RNAcentral describes it as "long non-coding RNA chr1:129943161-129946033". The record is from RNAcentral. Lineage: Eukaryota; Metazoa; Chordata; Mammalia; Rodentia; Muridae.